RNAcentral lists this ribosomal RNA (425 nucleotides) under uncultured bacterium. RNAcentral describes it as "bacterial SSU rRNA". It matches the Rfam family "Bacterial small subunit ribosomal RNA", at positions 356 to 771 of the family's 1533-position model. The record is from RNAcentral.
GGGGAAUUUUUCGCAAUGGGCGCAAGCCUGACGAAGCAACGCCGCGUAGAGGAUGAAGGCCCUCGCGGUCGUAAACUCUUGUCUAGCGGGACGAAACCUUUGCAGAUGAAUAAUCUGCAGAAUUGACUGUACCGCUGGAGGAAGCUCCGGCCAACUCCGUGCCAGCAGCCGCGGUAAUACGGAGGGGGUUAGCGUUGUUCGGAAUUACUGGGCGUAAAGCGCGCGUAGGCGGACUGGAAAGUUGGGGGUGAAAUCCCAGGGCUCAACCCUGGAACUGCCUCCAAAACUAUCAGUCUGGAGUUCGAGAGAGGUGAGUGGAAUUCCGAGUGUAGAGGUGAAAUUCGUAGAUAUUCGGAGGAACACCAGUGGCGAAGGCGGCUCACUGGCUCGAUACUGACGCUGAGGUGCGAAAGCGUGGGGAGCAA